GACGCCGACUGAUUUGUAUCUAUCCUCUAUCCCCCGUCUCGAUCUUCCGUCUAUUCUUCAACUUCUCCGUUUCCAAUUCUCAUCGUGUCUGAGGUAUGACGGGGAACCGAAAGAUAGCAGAUAGAGAGGCAAAACUGACCCAAUAAGGACACAACGAAAAGCGAAAAAUGCUUGCAAAAUUGGAAUGAACUUUAGCGAAACCAGCUUUUGUAAGAGAAACCGACAACCGGAAAUUGUAAAGUGCAGAUUUGACCUAUAUCUGUUGUCAUAUCUCUUACUCAAUAAAUUCUUAUGUCCAAAACAUGAAAUAUUGUUGAUUGAUUUGAUUUAUUUAACUUAACUAAAGCAAUUUCCAACAGUACAAUUUGAAUUUGAAAGUUAAAUAAAAUUGUUCGUU
Long non-coding RNA from Caenorhabditis elegans, 397 nucleotides. Ensembl annotates it as ncRNA. Its record names the gene linc-43. Lineage: Eukaryota; Metazoa; Nematoda; Chromadorea; Rhabditida; Rhabditidae. The record is from Ensembl.